GGAGGGUGCAAGCGUUAUUCGGAAUCACUGGGCGUAAAGAGCGCGUAGGCGGUUUCUAAAGUCAGAUGUGAAAGCCCGGGGCUCAACCCCGGAAGUGCAUUUGAAACUUAGGGACUUGAGUAUGGGAGAGGGAAGUGGAAUUCCUGGUGUAGCGGUGAAAUGCGUAGAUAUCAGGAGGAACACCGGUGGCGAAGGCGACUUCCUGGACCCAAUACUGACGCUGAGGCGCGAAGGCGUGGGGAGCAAACAGGAUUAGAUACCCUGGUAGUCCACGCAGUAAACGUUGAACACUAGGUGUAGCGGGUAUUGGACCCCCUGCUGUGCCGCAGCUAACGCAUUAAGUGUUCCGCCUGGGGAGUACGGCCCGCAAGGCUA
This 375-nucleotide ribosomal RNA is filed under the name uncultured organism. RNAcentral's name for it is "partial 16S ribosomal RNA". It matches the Rfam family "Bacterial small subunit ribosomal RNA", at positions 527 to 896 of the family's 1533-position model. The record is from RNAcentral.